GAAGCGGGAUGAGCUCAAAUUUGUAAUCUGGUGGACUCAGUUCAUCCGAAUUGUAAUCUAUAGAAAAGUUUUCCGCGCUGGACCGUGUCUAAGUCCCUUGGAACAGGGUGUCAGAGAGGGUGAGAAUCCCGUGCUUGAUACGACCACCAGUGCUAUGUGAUACUUUUUCAACGAGUCGAGUUGUUUGGGAAUGCAGCUCAAAAUGGGUGGUAAAUUCCAUCUAAAGCUAAAUAUUGGCGAGAGACCGAUAGCGAACAAGUACCGUGAGGGAAAGAUGAAAAGCACUUUGGAAAGAGAGUUAAACAGUACGUGAAAUUGUUAAAAGGGAAACGAUUGAAGUCAGUCGUGCUCUCUAGGACUCAGCCAGUUCUUCUGGUGUAUUUCCUAGUGAGCGGGUCAACAUCAGUUUAGAUCGCUGGAUAAGGUCAUUAGGAAUGUGGCUCCCUCGGGAGUGUUAUAGCCUAGUGUCGCAUACAGUGGUUUAGACUGAGGAACGCAGCUCGCC
This 505-nucleotide ribosomal RNA is filed under the name Cryptococcus sp. VP-2009b. RNAcentral describes it as "eukaryotic LSU rRNA". It matches the Rfam family "Eukaryotic large subunit ribosomal RNA", at positions 95 to 604 of the family's 3401-position model. The record is from RNAcentral. Lineage: Eukaryota; Fungi; Basidiomycota; Tremellomycetes; Tremellales; Cryptococcaceae.